Molecule: long non-coding RNA, 354 nt
Organism: Branchiostoma belcheri (Belcher's lancelet)
Lineage: Eukaryota; Metazoa; Chordata; Leptocardii; Amphioxiformes; Branchiostomatidae
Exons: 2
Source: RefSeq, a predicted model, not a curated record
GAGCGUGCUUCCAAGUCUAACCGUGAGGAAGUGACGGCCCUGAAGUCGUUGUUGGCCGAGGCUGAACGCCGCGAGAUGGCCAGGGAGCUGGAGAAACGGGACGUGGACGACGCCAUGGCGGACAUGAUGGAGGAAACGGAAUGAAGAAAAUGACAGCCGCACCGACCACGAGAACAUCACGUGACUGUCACAUAGACAUUGAUGACUGUUAAGCAUGCGCAGACAUCUAUAAGUGUAAAAGUUCCGAACUGUGGCUUUUUGGAAAUAAACUAGUUGUUUGUCCCACUGUUGUAAUUUGGCACUAAGAGCAAGAGGAUGUUUGAUGCCGGGAGAAAUAAAAGGAAAUAUGAGGAA